This is a long non-coding RNA of Homarus americanus (American lobster), 1273 nucleotides long. RefSeq lists it as uncharacterized. The transcript is spliced from 4 exons. Lineage: Eukaryota; Metazoa; Arthropoda; Malacostraca; Decapoda; Nephropidae. The record is from RefSeq and is a predicted model, not a curated record.
AAUUCAUGGAAACUUGGGCAUCGUACCACUGACAGCUGGUCGUCAUCGCUCAGCUCUACGAUCACCACAUACAGUCACAACAUUACCAGUUACACACACACACCUACACGAAGGGUCAACCAGUUUCGCCUUGAACCAGCAACUAUGAACUUCAAACUUGUGAUUGCGGUGUUGGUGGUGCUGUUGUCGGCGGUCUUGGGGGCGCCGCAGGUUAACUUGGAAAAGAGGGAAUUCCCCGGACAGAGACGUAAUGGGAAGACCAGAUAUGGUUUCCACUACUUCGGCAAGAAGGGUUACAAAAUUCAACCUUGUUCUAGAAGAAGAGGAAGGCUUGCUUAGAGCCGCCUUAAGCAAUAACAGGAAGGUCUCCUAGAGACUCCAGCGCAACUAUUACCUUUUUGUCAUGGCUCCAGUCAACACCUUCUGUCAUGGAUCCAGUCAACACCUUCUGUCAUGGAUCCAGUCAACACCUUCUGUCGUAGAUCAGUCAGCACCUUCUGUCCAUGGCUCCAGUCAACACCUUCUGUCAUGGAUCCAGUCAACACCUUCUGUCAUGGAUCCAGUCAACACCUUCUGUCAUGACUCCAGUCAACACCUUCUGUCUUGGCCUCCAGUCAACACCUGUUUUGGGCUACACCUUGAAAAAACACAACAAAAUUACUUCCUCAUCUAUCACCUGGCGCGUUUGUAACGUCUACUACCGCACCUACAAGAUGAAGUUGCAUUUGUCCAGUCUAGUGAUCUUUACACCCCGACAGAGGCAAUAGUAGUCUCUGUGCUGCCUCCUCAUCUUCCCUGGUGACCUUCCUGCGGGUGGGACUCGUUAACCGAUUCAUGUUAAACCAAAUCAAAUAUCUUGUGUCAAUUUUUUUUUUCACAUGGGAUAAAAUUUGUGAUCUUUGAUCGCUUGUGAAUGAUAUAAGUGAUGGUGUGUGUGAGUGUGUCAAAAGUGAAUAUGAAUCACAUGGAUUUGACGGUCAGUUAGGAGCAGUGUAGAUGCAACACGCUUGAAUGUUAUGCCCUCGGUAUACAAAGAAGUAGUGUGACCGGCAGUGCACUCGAUAGCCUUCACUUCCCCAGCUGUAAAUGGAGAUACCUAUUCACAGUUGGGUCGACUGAAGGUGCUCCGGGAGCGAACCACCGAUUCUUAGGACGGGGUGAGAGCGCUGUAUCCACUCGGCCACCGUCAACUUAUGAUAUAGUUUAUAAGCAAAUGUGUUUUUAUAAUUUAUAUAUAUAUAGAUAUAUAUAUUUAUACCGUUUUCAUAGGUGU